This is a long non-coding RNA of Episyrphus balteatus (marmalade hoverfly), 331 nucleotides long. RefSeq lists it as uncharacterized. The transcript has 2 exons. The record is from RefSeq and is a predicted model, not a curated record. Lineage: Eukaryota; Metazoa; Arthropoda; Insecta; Diptera; Syrphidae.
AUGCAUUGCAGCUGCUUUGAUGCAGUUUCGUCUAAUGGCGGUGCAAAUAACUAUUGCAUUGACAUCAAGGGCGAAUAUUGCCAUUUGGCAUAUUGUUGGAAACAAAUUUUGUUGCUGCAGCGAGGCAAAACAUGGGCAAAGAGAUGUGUUCUGUACUGGGUACUACUAUAGUACGACGGACGCUUUGCCAUGAUGAAUCAUUUGGAGCGGAAUGGUAUUGAUAGACUUACUAUGGGUCAAUGUGGCAAUUUAAAUAGAAUUAUCGAUUUUUUUGUUAUCCAUUCAAUUUGUUUUCGUUACCUAAUAAAUAAAAUUGUAAUAUAAUUUUUAA